UAAGGAAUAUUGGUCAAUGGACGCAAGUCUGAACCAGCCAUGCCGCGUGAAGGAUGAAGGUCCUCUGGAUUGUAAACUUCUUUUAUCUGGGACGAAAACGGGAUUUUUAUCUCAAUUGACGGUACCAGAGGAAUAAGCACCGGCUAACUCCGUGCCAGCAGCCGCGGUAAUACGGAGGGUGCGAGCGUUAUCCGGAUUUACUGGGUUUAAAGGGUGCGUAGGUGGGCUUAUAAGUCAGUGGUGAAAUCUCCGAGCUUAACUUGGAAACUGCCGUUGAUACUAUAGGUCUUGAAUUAUCUGGAGGUAAGCGGAAUAUGUCAUGUAGCGGUGAAAUGCUUAGAUAUGACAUAGAACACCAAUCGCGAAGGCAGCUUACUACAUAUAAAUUGACGCUGAUGCACGAAAGCGUGGGGAUCAAACA
RNAcentral lists this ribosomal RNA (421 nucleotides) under uncultured bacterium. RNAcentral describes it as "bacterial SSU rRNA". It matches the Rfam family "Bacterial small subunit ribosomal RNA", at positions 355 to 774 of the family's 1533-position model. The record is from RNAcentral.